AAAGCGUGCGCAGGCGGUUUUGUAAGACUGUCGUGAAAUCCCCGGGCUCAACCUGGGAAUGGCGAUGGUGACUGCAAGGCUAGAGUUUGGCAGAGGGGGGUAGAAUUCCACGUGUAGCAGUGAAAUGCGUAGAUAUGUGGAGGAACACCGAUGGCGAAGGCAGCCCCCUGGGUCAAAACUGACGCUCAUGCACGAAAGCGUGGGGAGCGAAACAGGAUUAGAUACCCCUG
Molecule: ribosomal RNA, 230 nt
Filed under: uncultured bacterium
Lineage: Bacteria
Description: partial 16S ribosomal RNA
Rfam family: Bacterial small subunit ribosomal RNA
Source: RNAcentral